RNAcentral lists this ribosomal RNA (400 nucleotides) under uncultured bacterium. RNAcentral describes it as "bacterial SSU rRNA". It matches the Rfam family "Bacterial small subunit ribosomal RNA", at positions 355 to 747 of the family's 1533-position model. The record is from RNAcentral.
UGGGGAAUAUUGCGCAAUGGGCGAAAGCCUGACGCAGCGACGCCGCGUGAGGGAUGAAGGCCUUCGGGUCGUAAACCUCUGUCAGGAGGGAAGAAGUGUAUGGGGAGUAACUGCCUCAUAUUUGACGGUACCUCCAAAGGAAGCACCGGCUAACUCCGUGCCAGCAGCCGCGGUAAUACGGAGGGUGCAAGCGUUAAUCGGAAUCACUGGGCGUAAAGCGCGCGUAGGCGGCCUUAUAAGUCAGGGGUGAAAGCCCACGGCUCAACCGUGGAACUGCCCUUGAUACUGUUUGGCUAGAGUCUGUGAGAGGGUAGUGGAAUUCCAGGUGUAGGAGUGAAAUCCGUAGAUAUCUGGAGGAACAUCAGUGGCGAAGGCGACUACCUGGUGCAGUACUGACGCU